AUAUAAUUGAAACAGAAUUUCUUCCAAAAAAAAUAAAAAUCCUCAUUUUCUUGACAUCUCAUUUGUAUAUAAACCGUUAACUCCUUUGGUACAAAUAACAUUAUUCAAUAGGCCCAAAAUCAAACCCUAAGAUUGGAAUGGGGUCUCAAGGAAUUCAUUCAACUUUAAAUUAAUAGUUUCUUCGUCCCGUGUUAGCUUUAGUAGCUCUUCUGCUGCUCUUUUCCUACACCAGCAUCCUCUUUUGUUUAUAAAAAGGGAACUUCCCAAUUACGUACUUUAGAAGAUCCAUUCGUGCAAUGAACGUGAUGGUCAAGCUUAACCUGUGGUGCGGAGCAAGUCUUUUCCCAUGCAGUUUGUUCACAGUAGGUGAAUUUCAAUUGUAGAGAGAGGGUAGACGGCUUUCCUAGCUACGAAAUUCAGUACGUUAUCCCACGCGCUUCCCAAUAAAUUAAUCCAACUUUGUGCGAUAAAUGCUACCUGAAAAACCAGGCGAGGCAACUCAACCCUCAUAGCUUCAUAAAUGUUCGACUUAUUCGGUAAACAAAACUAGACAAGAAGGGAUAUUUAGUGGAAGCAGAAAAGAAAGAUGUAAAAAUCUUGUAAUUAUAUUGUCC
RNAcentral lists this long non-coding RNA (614 nucleotides) under Olea europaea subsp. europaea. The record is from RNAcentral. Lineage: Eukaryota; Viridiplantae; Streptophyta; Magnoliopsida; Lamiales; Oleaceae.